CCUCAGAUGUGUCUACUAGUCU
RNAcentral lists this microRNA (22 nucleotides) under Chrysemys picta bellii (western painted turtle). RNAcentral's name for it is "Cpi-Mir-9588_5p (mature (guide))". The record is from RNAcentral. Lineage: Eukaryota; Metazoa; Chordata; Testudines; Emydidae. RNAcentral also lists the same sequence under 1 other name.